UAUACUUAAGAGCAACGGGGGUCAUCUGCAGCAAACACUUGGAGGGGAGAAUCGAGGCUUAAUGUGCUUGGAUGAAUCCCUACUCUUAACAGGCGCCCGGCUACAGGAGCCUCCUGGGAAGACGCAUGGCCAGUUCACAGAAGAGCUCAGCCUAAGAAUCUACAUGGGGACAAACCAAUGGAUGAAGAAUUCUUGUGGCCCAAACAUGACACAAAGUUGGAUGGAGAGCCCCCUGAAGAAGCCCAGCAGCACGCAUGCUGCGGAUAAGCAAGGAGUUGGCCCAGAAUGAACUAGAAGGAAUAAAAUACAAUCAAUCUGGA
Molecule: long non-coding RNA, 320 nt
Organism: Vombatus ursinus (common wombat)
Lineage: Eukaryota; Metazoa; Chordata; Mammalia; Diprotodontia; Vombatidae
Exons: 2
Source: RefSeq, a predicted model, not a curated record